AUGUUCAUGGAAAAUCAUACAAGCUUCAUUACAAAUAUAUUUGAGGAAAAUUACAAAGAAGUUACACCAAAAUCCAUCCUAAACAUAAUAUUUAACAUUUAUCUUCUAGUCCUAAACAUCCCUUUGUCCUUGCUCCUAAUCUUUAAGCUUCAUGAGUCAAAUCCUUUCCAUGCCUUUGUGUACCAAGAAAAAGGGUUCAAAUCCAAGCAUGUUUGUUCUCUGAUCGAACUUGCCAAUCACAUGUCAUGCUUUGCACAACAAAAAAAUAAGUAUUACCAUCAAACUUGCUCCGCAUCAACAUAA
Molecule: non-coding RNA, 303 nt
Organism: Vicia faba (fava bean)
Lineage: Eukaryota; Viridiplantae; Streptophyta; Magnoliopsida; Fabales; Fabaceae
Source: the annotation of a GenBank genome assembly